CAGGUUGAACAUCUGGCACUUAUUAGAAGCUCAUUAAAUGAUACUUCUUUUGCAUACUUCUUUUUGAAAUUUAAGGAGACUCAACACUACUAGACUGCAACAAGUAGCCAUGGGCUUGGAAAACAUCUUCCUCUCCAAGUAGAAACCUGGAUUAAAUAAAAAGAAACAGCUUGCUAGUCAGCAGCAAUCUUCCUGGUCUUGUGGAAUCAUGCUUCAAGGCAGGCAGGCCACAGUUGUCAUGGCAUGGUGGGCCAGUGAGUUGUUCUCCAAAGAAGAGUCGCCAUAAAGCCUUACUUGGUAUGGGAAGCUCUGCCCUGGCACAGCCAAACCACUCUGCAGAGUCCGGCCCUCCAACGGUCUGAGGAACAGUGAACUGGCCCCCUGUUUAAAAAGUUUGAGGACGCCUGCUGAGGAAACGAUUUGGGAAGGACAAUGUGAUUUUGUCCGACAUAAGGAAGCCUCCUGAUCAUGUCUUCCAUAGCGGCCCAUUUAUUUAUUCUGAUAUCUUGGAUUACAAGAAUCUUCGGGAGAUUGUGGUAAACAACCACAUCACCUGACUGUUUCAUUAUAGUGCUUUGCUCAGUGCGGUUGGAGAAGCAAACGUGUCCCUGGCGAGAGCUGUGAAUGUAACUGGAUUGCCUCAUAUUCUGGACGUCGCAGCAGAGCACAAUGUGCGACUGUUCAUGCCCAGUCCCAUCAGGGCUUUUGGACCUACCUCUCCCUGGAAUCUGACCCCUGAUCUCUGCAUUUAGAGACCCAGGACCAUGUAUGGGGUGUGCAAGGUCCAGGCAGAGCUCAUGGGAGAGUAUUAUCAUUAUCGGUAUGGGUUAGAUUUCUGAUGCCUGACAUACGCUGGAAUCACUUUUCCUGACUCCCAGCCUGGGAAGGAACUGACUAUGCAGUCCAGAUCUUCCAUGAUGCUGCAAAGCAUGGCAAAUUCGAGUGCAACCUGGACUCUAGCACAGGGCUCCCAGUGAUGUACAUUGACGAUGGCCUCCGGGCCACCCUGGAAGUCAUCCAUGAGGCCCUACAAUGUCAGUGCCAUGAGCUUCACCCCCCAGGAGCUGGCCCAGGAGGUUCUCAAGCACAUCCCGGAAUUCCGAUCAUAUACCCUGUGGAUGUGUUCGCCAGGCCACAGCAGAUAGUUGGCUGAUGAACUUUGAUGACAGCAAUGCUCUAAAGGACUGGGGAUGGAAACAUGAUUUUGACCUCCCAGAGUUGGUGACCACAAUGUUGAACUUCCAUGGUUUGGAAGUUCAUGGCCCAGGCCAAUUGAAGGAAUCUGAGGAAUCUUGUACCCUGGACUGCUGUCAAGAACUGUCACCACCCUGAGGUUAUAGACCCCAAGGAGCCUUCGUUAUUUGGAGUUGACUAUUUGGGCUACAUUUUGAACUCACAGCUCAAAAUGAACUGACCUGCCAGGUGGAGGACAACAGAGUUACCUUUAAGCAUUUUCAAAAUGUUUAUAGGUUUGAUGGGAGGACUUCUCAAUCUUUGUUUGCCUAAAUUUAUCUAAACACAUAUUCCACAGAAUGAAAAUUAAAUCAUACUUAGUAUCCAUUUCUUUAAUUAGGAUGAAGUGACCAUUUCUGGGAAAGUGGAAGUAUAUAACAUUUGUACUUAAUUAAAUUCAACUUAAAUAUCACUCCUAAUAUUCCAUUACUUUCUGUAGUGCAGAGAAUGUUGUUAAGAGGUAAAUGUUUAAUUCCCUUUGAUAGUCCUUUGUUUCUGUUAUGCAGCUAUCCUUAGAAACAUAGUAUUUAAUCAAUUUCUAAAGCCUGGGUCUAUGAGAGAUUUAUGAGAUUUAUUCAGUAAACUAAAAUAGUGUCAAGAUGUCAAAGAAAUGUGAUUGAUAUUUUAAAUUGACUUGACAUGUUGUUAUCUGGUUAAGGUUUUAAUGUUUUUCAAAAAUUACAUGAGGUAAAAACAAUAAUUAAUGGCUUGCCUUUGAUAUUAUCAGAUAUUAUUCUGCAGGAAGACUGGGCUGAUGAGGUUCCUGCCACAGGAUGGUGGAAUGGAUAUAGAAUGAAAACAAAGGAAAAAAGUGUACAUAGCCCUGUUUUUCAGAAAUCUGAUACAUUUGAUGAUGUCAAAUGGGUAACAUAUGUCAACCACCAAAGAUAGAUCUGAGGCUAUCUUAGACCAUCCGACUCCAGCUGAACUGCCAACUACCCGUAUAGAUUUGGGAAGGAGCCAGCAGCCAGCAGGCCCAGACCAAAAGAACUGCCCAUUACAAAGUGUGUGUUGGAUUCUUUG
Molecule: long non-coding RNA, 2256 nt
Organism: Nycticebus coucang (slow loris)
Lineage: Eukaryota; Metazoa; Chordata; Mammalia; Primates; Lorisidae
Exons: 3
Source: RefSeq, a predicted model, not a curated record